GAGAUGGUUUAACAGUGAUUUCGGGCUUGACCUCACAGACUUGGCUGGGAGAGCACUGCAUGGUCGGAGGAGACAUUCUUUGGAUGAGAAGUCUGCCUGUUCUGAUGGAUAUGAAAAAUCUCAUAACACUACUAAAGAGGUUGUCUGCUGUGCCAAAGAACUCCCCCAUCGGGUUAUCAGGAGCUAAGUGGGAAGAACCCCAGCUGUUUGACUGGUUUGAUCCUC
Molecule: long non-coding RNA, 225 nt
Organism: Callorhinchus milii (elephant shark)
Lineage: Eukaryota; Metazoa; Chordata; Chondrichthyes; Chimaeriformes; Callorhinchidae
Exons: 3
Source: RefSeq, a predicted model, not a curated record